Molecule: transfer RNA, 66 nt
Filed under: Plesionika edwardsii
Lineage: Eukaryota; Metazoa; Arthropoda; Malacostraca; Decapoda; Pandalidae
Description: tRNA-Phe
Rfam family: tRNA
About the family: Transfer RNA (tRNA) molecules are approximately 80 nucleotides in length. Their secondary structure includes four short double-helical elements and three loops (D, anti-codon, and T loops).
Source: RNAcentral
ACUCAGGUAGCUUAAAUAAAGAGCACCACAUUGAAGAUGUGGUGGUGGUAAGAUUACCUCUGGGUG